UACGGAGGGAGCUAGCGUUGUUCGGAAUUACUGGGCGUAAAGCGCGCGUAGGCGGUUAUUCAAGUCAGAGGUGAAAUCCCGGAGCUCAACUUUGGAACUGCCUUUGAAACUCCCAGUCUUGAGGUCGAGAGAGGUGAGUGGAAUUCCGAGUGUAGAGGUGAAUUUCGUAGAUAUUCGGAGGAACACCAGUGGCGAAGGCGGCUCACUGGCUCGAUACUGACGCUGAGGUGCGAAAGCGUGUGGAGCAAACAGG
Molecule: ribosomal RNA, 253 nt
Filed under: uncultured bacterium
Lineage: Bacteria
Description: partial 16S ribosomal RNA
Rfam family: Bacterial small subunit ribosomal RNA
Source: RNAcentral